Molecule: long non-coding RNA, 2565 nt
Filed under: Elaeis guineensis (African oil palm)
Lineage: Eukaryota; Viridiplantae; Streptophyta; Magnoliopsida; Arecales; Arecaceae
Description: long non-coding RNA (EGUI_LNC011653)
Source: RNAcentral
ACCUAGACAAUUUUUGUUAGAAGUGAUAGAACAAGGAAAGCCAAAUUAAAAGUUCUAGCUAGCCCAAGACAUGCAAAACAUCAAGAGAAAUAUAUAUGUACCUUUAUGGACUACCAUCGAGGCUUUCAUCAAACAUCAGAAAAAAAAAAAAAAAGUUACAUUUGAAGGGGAAAAAGGAAAAAGACUACCAUCGAGGCCCCAGCCAAUGUAGAGCGGAGUGAUGCCAAUUGCAUCUCGGGCAGCAAUGAAACUGCUGUCGCGUGUGUCCAACAACACAAAUGAGAACAUUCCAUCCAGCAUGUCAACAAAACUGUCUCCAUAUUCCUCAUACUAUCACGAAAUAAAACAAGAGAAAAUUUCCAUCUCACUUUCAUUGCUCAAAAAAGAUUUCACCUUUCUUAAAAUGUAAAAAGAACAAAAAAAUCAUGUGUGCACAGUUUAGUAUAUAUGGCUUGUUUAAUUCAUAGAAUUCUCACCAGAUGGGCAAUAACUUCACAGUCGCUCCCUGUCCUGAACUUGUGAUUAAGCAACCUUUUCCUCAGUUCUUCAUGGUUGUAAAUCUCUCCAUUGACCUGUUUCAAACAGAAAAUUCCUCAAUCUACUCAGUAAAUAACACAUACAAACAUAAUAUAUUUAUCAGAUGGAUACAUGAUAUGAUUGACAAGAAGAAAAUUUGUUAAAGAAAGUUGCCAUAUUACAGGAAAGAAAUGUUGAUGGAGUUCUUUGAUUCCUGGAGAAAUCUGUAUCCUUAGGCAUGUGUAAUUGCAGUCCACUUUACCUUAUUGAUUUGUAUUUAGUUUGCAUAUGUUGUCUGGGCUGGCGUCAAAAAAGAAAAAAAAAUGUUUUCAUGGGCUGCAAAAUUCAGUAUGACUUAAUUCCUGUCAAGAUCGCUCCUGCUAAUAUUUGAGCAAUAAGAGCGCUUGUACAUUUUUUCUUUGAUUAGGAGAGAACUUGCGCGGUUGUACUAUUAAAUCCAACUUUUCAUGGAAACUGUAGUCACAUUCCUGUUUUUAAAAGGAAGUUCAAACCUGUCUCUUGUCUUCUACCUGCAGGAAUAACACCGAGGCCUUUGAAUCCUGAUGCGUUUUUCACACCACACACACACACACAUACAUGUAUGUAUGUUGUAGAAGACUCGGGAUCUUUCAUCGUUAUCAUUGUCCCUUUCUUUCUUUUCUUUUCUUUUCCUUUUUCUUUUUUUUUUUUUUUGGGGGAGAAACUUCAUCGUUAUCGUUGUUAUCAACAUCACUCUCUAGAUACAUGGACCAAGGAGAAGUCAGUCAUCCUUGAAAGAGACUUGGAUGCCAACUAAUAGUAAGGAAAAAUAAAUGUUUCUGCGUUUAUGUUAAUUAUUACCGUCACCACAAUGGAUUUGUCCUCGUUAUAAAGAGGCUGAUCACCGGAAGCAGGAUCGAUGACUGCUAGCCGCUGAUGUGCUAGAAAACAAUCUCCAAACUGGUGCAAUCCGCUCCAAUCUGGACCACGAUGCUUUAACCUGCAUCCAGAGAAGAAACACAACAUUACUUCUUUUUUCUUUUUCUUUUUUUUUUUUAAUGGAAACAUUACUUCUCUAUUCAUUCACUCAUUUUGUAAGUUGAAAAGAACAAAACACAAAAUUUUCAUUAAUUGUCAAGACAAUUUAUCUUCAAAAAAGGUUUAACCGAUAUAACAAAUGUUUUUUUUUUAAUAUGAUAAACAAAGUUAGACUUUUACCAGAUCGGAAAGAACCAUAUAUAUUUAUCUGUAAUACAAUAUAUAACAGAAACAGAGUGGCUUGCUCAUCAUCAAUAAUACGUCAUAGAGACGUCAAUAUUAGACCACAAAUGUUUGAUUAAAACGCUCUUUAUUUGCACAAAGAAGAACAUUAGUCCAUCCAUGCUGUGAAGAAAUUUGAGUAGUAGAGAGUUCAUAUCCGCUUUAGCCUUUUGUGAAAGGACAUAAUCAACAGAUUUAAGAUCACGGAGUUCAUGCAAAAUCUCCUUUAUGGGUUCUCUCUCCAGCUUCAAGAUUCAGAGAGAAUUCCAUCAAAACAGAUUCAGAGAGAGCAUCUACCCAUAAUAGGAUAGUUUUGAACAAGACAAGCAAAUAACAUUCAAAAAAUUUAAAAAAAUAUAUAAAAUCCAAAACCAUAAUCACAGCCGCAAAACCUUACCAUAAUAUAUAUCUUCGUUCACUUAAAAAUAUAUAUUAUAAUUCAAACGAAAAUAUUAUAUAUAUAUAUAGAACAAACUCAUCAUCAUCAAACCCCAUAAAAAAAUCAAUCAGAGGCCCAAAAGUUCCAUCUUUGUAGCAAGAGAGAGGAGAGAAGAACGGGGUGAGUUUGGAUCAUUGCCUGCGGGAGAGCUCGAGCACGCGAACCCUCUUCGACUGUGAAUCAUCCGAGCAUCCCAACACAGCCAGUAUCCCACACAUGUUAUUGAUUGAAAUGAAACGAGAGAGACCAGAUACGGUAAACCAAACAAUAGAGAGCAAGAGCAAGAUAUUUAGAAAAAAAAAAAAACGGAGGAGAAAGAGGAGAGAUGGGACAAGUAAUCGAAGAGAAUAUAACAGGUGGCGAACCCCUUC